CUUCGACCAGGGUUCGAUUCGAGCGUAGCGAGAAAGCGUUGCCGCAGGCAACGACCCGAAGGGCGAAGCGCGAAGCGCUGAGUAAUCCUUCCCCCACCACCA
Molecule: small RNA, 102 nt
Filed under: Enterobacter hormaechei
Lineage: Bacteria; Pseudomonadati; Pseudomonadota; Gammaproteobacteria; Enterobacterales; Enterobacteriaceae
Also listed under: 1 other name
Description: partial RtT sRNA
Rfam family: RtT RNA
About the family: This family represents a bacterial cis-regulatory element known as RtT RNA.
Source: RNAcentral